GGCGAUGUAGCUCAGCUGGCUAGAGCGAUUGGUUCAUACCCAAUAGGUCGGGGGUUCGAUCCCCUCCGUCGCUACCA
This 77-nucleotide transfer RNA is filed under the name Clostridium sp. CAG:762. RNAcentral describes it as "transfer RNA-Met(CAT)". It matches the Rfam family "tRNA". Rfam says of the family: Transfer RNA (tRNA) molecules are approximately 80 nucleotides in length. Their secondary structure includes four short double-helical elements and three loops (D, anti-codon, and T loops). The record is from RNAcentral. RNAcentral also lists the same sequence under 1 other name. Lineage: Bacteria; Bacillati; Bacillota; Clostridia; Eubacteriales; Clostridiaceae.